This 175-nucleotide ribosomal RNA is filed under the name uncultured bacterium. Its description in RNAcentral is "partial 16S ribosomal RNA". It matches the Rfam family "Bacterial small subunit ribosomal RNA", at positions 1325 to 1500 of the family's 1533-position model. The record is from RNAcentral.
GUCGGAAUCGCUAGUAAUCGCGAGUCAGCAUAUCGCGGUGAAUACGUUCCCGGGUCUUGUACACACCGCCCGUCACACCAUGGGAGUUGGCAACACCCAAGUCGAUGAGCUAACCGCAAGGAGGCAGUCGCCUAAGGUGGGGUUGAUAACUGGGGUGAAGUCGUAACAAGGUACC